Long non-coding RNA from Cephus cinctus (wheat stem sawfly), 610 nucleotides. RefSeq lists it as uncharacterized. The transcript is spliced from 2 exons. The record is from RefSeq and is a predicted model, not a curated record. NCBI's taxonomy places the organism in Eukaryota, Metazoa, Arthropoda, Insecta, Hymenoptera, Cephidae.
AUGUCUAGAUCACUGACAAUAGCACCAUUGAUCACCAUGAUCUCAUCGCUCUUGAUGAUUCCUAAAGAGAAAACAACAUAGGGUAUUUUCAAUUCCAAUCGUACUCACUAAUACAUCAAUGAGAUUCACAGCAGCCAAUAAGAUCAACCAUGAAAGGACUGUGUAUCUGAAUCUAGCAAAGAGGCAAUCGUCUAUUUAUAUCAUAAAAGAAUAACAGUGGCGGAUGAAUUAUAGAUAAAAGUAAUUCUAGCGUGGAGGAUCGAUAAUGACAAUGAAAGUACACCUGAGCCACGUGUAAACAAUAUAGUCCAUAAAGCUCCAACGCUAGCCUCGAACACUUCAUCCAGGGUUUUUAUGCUUGGUUAAGUCAUGUUCAUGCAACAUUGCUCAUCCAGCGUCGUCCUCUACUAACCAUUCUGCAUGGCGACGCUCUUGUCCUCGACUCUGCUAACGUAGCAGCAAAGCUCGUCCUGCCUAUCGGAAUUCUCAAUAAGUUCAGCCUCCACGGAGAAGCCCCACAUCUGGUCCAGGGUGUUCCUCUGGAGUUCUACUUGGUAGAGUAUCUUGGCGCAGACCUCGACUAUCUCGUGGGUAUGCAGCUGAAUAAAUA